AUUGAACGCUGGCGGCAGGCUUAACACAUGCAAGUCGGACGGUAGCACAGAGAGCUUGCUCUCGGGUGACGAGUGGCGGACGGGUGAGUAAUGUCUGGGGAUCUGCCCGAUAGAGGGGGAUAACCACUGGAAACGGUGGCUAAUACCGCAUAACGUCACAAGACCAAAGAGGGGGACCUUCGGGCCUCUCACUAUCGGAUGAACCCAGAUGGGAUUAGCUAGUAGGCGGGGUAAUGGCCCACCUAGGCGACGAUCCCUAGCUGGUCUGAGAGGAUGACCAGCCACACUGGAACUGAGACACGGUCCAGACUCCUACGGGAGGCAGCAGUGGGGAAUAUUGCACAAUGGGCGCAAGCCUGAUGCAGCCAUGCCGCGUGUAUGAAGAAGGCCUUCGGGUUGUAAAGUACUUUCAGCGGGGAGGAAGACGGUGCGGUUAAUAACCGCGCCGAUUGACGUUACCCGCAGAAGAAGCACCGGCUAACUCCGUGCCAGCAGCCGCGGUAA
This 504-nucleotide ribosomal RNA is filed under the name uncultured bacterium. RNAcentral describes it as "partial 16S ribosomal RNA". It matches the Rfam family "Bacterial small subunit ribosomal RNA", at positions 29 to 523 of the family's 1533-position model. The record is from RNAcentral.